UCGGUGAAUAUUGCUGACAACAGCGCGC
Molecule: small RNA, 28 nt
Filed under: Bombyx mori (domestic silkworm)
Lineage: Eukaryota; Metazoa; Arthropoda; Insecta; Lepidoptera; Bombycidae
Description: ovarian small RNA-29031
Source: RNAcentral